GCCGAAGUGGCUCAGCCUGGUUUAGAGCGCUAGACUCAUAAUCUAGAGGUCGUGGGUCCGAAUGCAAUGGAUGUAAUAUUUGCCACUGCUGGAAAUCCCACCUUCGGCA
RNAcentral lists this transfer RNA (109 nucleotides) under Candidatus Terrarchaeum hikurangii. RNAcentral describes it as "tRNA-Met". It matches the Rfam family "tRNA". From Rfam's summary of the family: Transfer RNA (tRNA) molecules are approximately 80 nucleotides in length. Their secondary structure includes four short double-helical elements and three loops (D, anti-codon, and T loops). Further hydrogen bonds mediate the characteristic L-shaped molecular structure. tRNAs have two regions of fundamental functional importance: the anti-codon, which is responsible for specific mRNA codon recognition, and the 3' end, to which the tRNAs corresponding amino acid is attached (by aminoacyl-tRNA synthetases). tRNAs cope with the degeneracy of the genetic code in two manners: having more than one tRNA (with a specific anti-codon) for a particular amino acid; and 'wobble' base-pairing, i.e. permitting non-standard base-pairing at the 3rd anti-codon position. Lineage: Archaea; Nanobdellati; Candidatus Terrarchaeota; Candidatus Terrarchaeia; Candidatus Terrarchaeales; Candidatus Terrarchaeaceae. The record is from RNAcentral.